UACAGAGGUCUCAAGCGUUGUUCGGAUUCAUUGGGCGUAAAGCGUACGCAGGCGGCUCGGCAAGUCGAGUGUGAAAUCCCGGGGCUCAACUCCGGAACUGCAUUCGAUACUGCCGGGCUUGAGUGCGGGAGAGGGAAGCGGAAUUCCUGGUGUAGAGGUGAAAUUCGUAGAUAUCAGGAGGAACACCGGUGGCGAAAGCGGCUUCCUGGCCCGACACUGACGCUCAGGCGCGAAAGCGUGGGGAGCAAACAGG
Molecule: ribosomal RNA, 253 nt
Filed under: uncultured bacterium
Lineage: Bacteria
Description: partial 16S ribosomal RNA
Rfam family: Bacterial small subunit ribosomal RNA
Source: RNAcentral